Non-coding RNA from Ictidomys tridecemlineatus (thirteen-lined ground squirrel), 615 nucleotides. The record is from RefSeq and is a predicted model, not a curated record. NCBI's taxonomy places the organism in Eukaryota, Metazoa, Chordata, Mammalia, Rodentia, Sciuridae.
UGUUCAGAAUAUUUGGAAGACUGAAAUCUACACUCACUACUAAGAAGCUACUCCAUAAUGGGGAAAUUAUUGAUGUGAAGAAAUUGAAGCAGAGAUUGUAAGGAACUUGCUUGAGAUCCCACAAGCAGUAAAUAUUAAAAAUCUAGAAUUAGACGCAGUUAACCUAUCUCUAGAGGCAAAUAUCAAACUGUCUACCAACCAGAAAUAAUGUAGAGGUAAGCAAUAUGAUGCCAUUUCUGACAUUUUAUUUUUGAAAUGUUGGUACUUAUAAUUAAUGUCAUAGGCUACUAGAUAUAAUACUUUUUCUUUGCAAAGACAACAUAUACCAGGUAAAGGCAGCUAUUAUUUUGACAGUAAUUAAAAAGAACUGCCUAUGGUUAAAAAUAUCAUUACUUAUGAAAAUCUCUGUUUAAAAAUAUCAGUGCUUAGGAAAAUCUCUGUGAACAAAAUAAUAUACAGCAGUUCAGGAAUGGGUAUUAUUCUUUAUUUCUAAUAUUUUAUUAUGAGAGUAGCUAUUCCUUUUCUCUACUUUCAGACUGGUUUUAUAGAAUAAUACAAGUGUAAAAAUAAAUGCCAUGUAUCAUCUUUGCAAAGAGAAUCAUGAAAUUGUGCAUG